GGUGGGAUAGAGAUGGSCACGSSCAAGAUUAGAUAGUUGGUAGGGUAACGGCCUACCAAGUCAGUGAUCUUUAGGGGGCCUGAGAGGGUGAUCCCCCACCAYUGGUACUGAGACACGGACCAGAYUCCUACGGGAGGCAGCAGUGAGGAAUAUUGGACAAUGGGUGAGAGCCUGAUCCAGCCAUCCCGCGUGAAGGACGACGGCCCCUAUGGGUUGUAAACUUCUUUUGUAUAGGGAUAAACCUUUUCCACGUGUGGAAAGCUGAAGGUACUAUACGAAUAAGCACCGGCUAACUCCGUGCCAGCAGCCGCGGUAAUACGGAGGGUGCAAGCGUUAUCCGGAUUUAUUGGGUUUAAAGGGUCCGUAGGCGGAUCUGUAAGUCAGUGGUGAAAUCUCAUAGCUUAACUAUGAAACUGCCAUUGAUACUGCAGGUCUUGAGUAAAGUAGAAGUGGCUGGAAUAAGUAGUGKAGCGGUGAAAUGCAUAGAUAUUACUUAGAACACCAAUUGCGAAGGCAGGUCACUAUGUUUUAACUGACGCUGAUGGACGAAAGCGUGGGGAGCGAACAGGAUUAGAUACCCUGGUAGUCCACGCCGUAAACGAUGCUAACUCGUUUUUGGGUUUUCGGAUUCAGAGACUAAGCGAAAGUGAUAAGUUAGCCACCUGGGGGAGUACGUUCGCAAGAAUGAAACUCAAAGGAAUUGACGGGGGCCCGCACAAGCGGUGGAUUAUGUGGGUUUAAUUCGAUGAUACGCGAGGAACCUUACCAAGGCUUAAAUGGGAAUUGACAGGUUUAGAAAUAGACUUUUCUUCGGACAAUUUUCAAGGUGCUGCAUGGUUGUCGUCAGCUCGUGCCGUGAGGUGUUAGGUUAAGUCCUGCAACGAGCGCAACCCCUGUCACUAGUUGCCAUCAUUYAAGUUGGGGACUCUAGUUGAGACUGCCUACSCAAGUAKAAGAGGAAAGGUGGGGGAUGACGKCCAAAUCAUCACCGGCCCUUACUGCCUUGGGSCACACACCGUAAUAACAAUGGSCGCGGUACARAAGGGCR
This 1048-nucleotide ribosomal RNA is filed under the name Chryseobacterium indoltheticum. RNAcentral describes it as "bacterial SSU rRNA". It matches the Rfam family "Bacterial small subunit ribosomal RNA", at positions 213 to 1249 of the family's 1533-position model. Lineage: Bacteria; Pseudomonadati; Bacteroidota; Flavobacteriia; Flavobacteriales; Weeksellaceae. The record is from RNAcentral.